AUGGCUGUCGUCAGCUCGUGUCGUGAGAUGUUGGGUUAAGUCCCGCAACGAGCGCAACCCCUACCCUUAAUUGCCAUCGGGUUAUGCCGGGCACUUUAGGGGGACUGCCGGUGACAAGCCGGAGGAGGGUGGGGAUGACGUCAAGUCCUCAUGGCCUUUAUGACCAGGGCUACACACGUGUUACAAUGGGAGUUACAGAGGGAAGCUAAACCGCGAGGUCAUGCCAAUCCCAGAAAAACUUUCUCAGUUCGGAUCGCAGUCUGCAACUCGACUGCGUGAAGCUGGAAUCGCUAGUAAUCGCGGAUCAGCACGCCGCGGUGAAUACGUUCCCGGGCCUUGUACACACCGCCCGUCACACCAUGGGAGCCGACAAGGGCAGAAGUCGCCGAGCUAACCUUCGGGAAGCAGGCGCCCAAGCUGUUGUUGACGACUGGGGUGAAGUCGUAACAAGGUAGCCGUAGGAGAACCUGCGGCUGGAUCACCUCCUUUCUAAGGACGCCGGAGAUGCUUUAUGCUUAUCUCCGGAUAGUCAAAGUCGAAACAGACUCUCUUCUCUUCUCUCCCUUUUCUCCUGUAAAUGCUAAGUUAUGAAUUUAGAGCAACGAAGGAAUUAAAUUCGUUACUGUGGACUCCUAAUUUCAAGAGGGGCCUGUAGCUCAGCUUGGUUAGAGCGCAUCCCUGAUAAGGAUGAGGCCGGUGGUUCAAGUCCACCCAGGCCCACCAGGUUCAGUGGGGGAUUAGCUCAGCUGGUAGAGCGCCUGCUUUGCAAGCAGGAGGUCAGCGGUUCGACCCCGCUAUCCUCCACCAAAUUAAUGAACAGUAAAAAAAGGUGGUGCAGCUUAAGCAGAAGAUAAGCUUCAGCAAUUAUUUAAUAAUUUCUGAAUUUUAUUUUUUAAUAUCUUAGACAAUUGAAUCGGAGGUUUUGGAGACACAAGAUCAAAUGUGAGGGUCUCCAAGGGUUGACGAUCUUGACUGUUAAAGUCAGGUAGUAAGGGCGCAGGGCGGAUGCCUUGGCUCUGGGAAGCGAAGAAGGACGUGGCCAGCUGCGAUAAGCCUCGGGGAAGAGCAAACAUCUUUUGAUCCGGGGAUUUCCGAAUGGGGAAACCCGG
RNAcentral lists this small RNA (1109 nucleotides) under uncultured bacterium. RNAcentral's name for it is "bacterial SSU rRNA". The stretch from base 1 to 489 matches the Rfam family "Bacterial small subunit ribosomal RNA", at positions 1045 to 1533 of the family's 1533-position model. The record is from RNAcentral.